Molecule: ribosomal RNA, 375 nt
Filed under: Triticum aestivum (bread wheat)
Lineage: Eukaryota; Viridiplantae; Streptophyta; Magnoliopsida; Poales; Poaceae
Description: partial small subunit ribosomal RNA
Source: RNAcentral
AUGAUCAUCAUCUCUAAAUUGGAUAAUUGGACAACAUCAGCAGGAGGACAGCAACAACAACAUUUUCUCAUGCAUUACAGACUAUUGUACCUAAAAGCUUCGAUGAAUUCUCCCAAUUCUACUGUAAGGCGAAAACUGAUAAGAAUUGGGAGCAGCGAGGAGUGGAGGGCGGAGGAGGAGGUGGCCGGCCUGGCAGAGGAAGACGACGACUCUCGUUUUCAGAUCAGGGGUAUUUUUGUACUUUUGCUUGUUUUCACCUGGUCGGAAAAAAACCCCAGCGACAACUAUUUCGGAACGGAGGGAGUAGCACUAAGACGUUGUGUGACCAAAAAUAAUUACUACACAUAUUUUUCAGCAUUUCCAGCAAGUGCGUAG